GCAUUGUAAUCUGUCAUAUUUCUGAGCUGAACAGACAUAAAUAAAAAAAUAGUAUCGCUAAUUUAAAUGUGUGCAUUAAAGCCAUACAAUAAAACUGCACUGCAUUGUUGUAUAAGAUCAGAUCGUCCUUAUUUUUGCUUGAUCUCUCAGAUUCCACUCUGUUAAACACUGGUGCUAUUUCAAUACUCAUUUAAAAACAGUUUCUAAAAACAACCAGGCACAACUAAUAUUACACAAGUUAGAGAAACUUUCAACUGUAGCAACCAAAUGACUCCUUAUUUAUUGAAGUAUCAUCAACCAAAUCCUUGUCAAAAUGUUACUAGUUAUUUCAAUCCUUGGUGAUAUUUGAUCAUAACACUAUGAAAUACAUUAUAGCCUACUGUUAUAGUAGCUAUUUCAUUGUGUGCCUAAAAUGUAAACAUUACCAAGAUUAUUUCUUCUUGACGUACAGAAGUACCCCCCCCGUUUUGAUACGUCGAUGAAAUAGUUACCGAGGCUUGAAAGUGUGACCGUAAUAAACUAAACUAAAUAACUUUUUAGUAGGUUGAUGCCAGGUACCCAUUCUUGCCAAGUUGAGGUUCUCUGCCUACCCACCCCUACACGGUAUACCAAGAGGAGAAAUGUAUUAUUCCAAAUAAUCUACAACUCCUAUGGUAUACAGUUGUUACGUCCCAAUUAUCUCACUCCUUCCUCCUGAAGUGCGCACUCAUUCACUACUCCCCACAAAUCUAAAGGCGUUGGAUUGGUGGAGGCAUGGGUCGUUAGAGGGAGUUUACAUAUGCCAGUAAUUUCCUUUCCAAUUUUAUGAAUGGAAGUGAACAAGUGCACAUUUCUGGAGAAAGGAGAUAUUGGGACGCACGCCAUGCUCCCUCACAGCGGGGUAAAUCAUUUGCUUUGUUGAACUGGCAACACUUGUAUUUCUUUCUUUGGGCAAAAAGUUGUGUUAUAAAUAUGGUCCUGUUUAUCUUGGGGAAAAUGGAUUGUAAUGAAUGGAAGGUUCCCCUAUUAAAAUAUUGAAUUGUUUUUUUUUUUUAAGACUACCACUGUAAUCCCA
Molecule: long non-coding RNA, 1054 nt
Filed under: Salmo salar (Atlantic salmon)
Lineage: Eukaryota; Metazoa; Chordata; Actinopteri; Salmoniformes; Salmonidae
Description: lncRNA (ENSSSAG00000103860.1)
Source: RNAcentral